RNAcentral lists this unclassified non-coding RNA (225 nucleotides) under Galinsoga parviflora. Its description in RNAcentral is "partial internal transcribed spacer 2". Lineage: Eukaryota; Viridiplantae; Streptophyta; Magnoliopsida; Asterales; Asteraceae. The record is from RNAcentral.
AUCACGUCGCCCCCACCAAGCCCACCUCUUUGGAGGGAGGCGUUGGAAUGGGGCGGAGAUUGGUCUCCCGUGCUUUAGUGCGGUUGGCCUAAAUGGGAGCCUCCUCAAGAGUGACGCACGGCUAGUGGUGGUUGUUAUGACUGUCGUCUCUUUGCUGUGCGUUUUGAUUCUUGGGGUAAAAGCUCUUAAAUCACCCUGACCCGUUGUCUUUUGAUGACGAUUCGA